AUGAUAACAAUGGCGAUUAGGGCAUGCAGGGGACAGCGACGUGCAGCUUAUCGGGUCGGGAUCAGCGCAGUGCGGGCGUCCCAGCUCAUGGUCAGGAUCCCGGAACGUGCCGCGACAGCCCCGAGAGGGUUCGGCGAGCGCGCACCAGUUGCAAAAAAGAAUGGUGCGAUUCAGUCGAGGUCGCCGUGCGAAGGAGAAAUCGGAGAGAGCAACCAUGGCGCUCUUGUCCUCGAGUUCCUUUGGUUCAGAGAACCUCGGUUUUGCUGCGAUGCUGUUGCUGAUGAAAUUUCAGCAACAUGGAAUUUUCACCUGGUCAGAAAAGGGCAGUUCAGCAGGUACAAGGUUGACGCUGAACAUUCAUAUGCAAGCAAGAACCGAGUAGCAAAAACUGUAGCACCUUUAUUCAUCUCAAGUUCUCAACACAGCAGCAACUGA
RNAcentral lists this ribosomal RNA (435 nucleotides) under Triticum aestivum (bread wheat). RNAcentral's name for it is "partial small subunit ribosomal RNA". The record is from RNAcentral. Lineage: Eukaryota; Viridiplantae; Streptophyta; Magnoliopsida; Poales; Poaceae.